This 389-nucleotide ribosomal RNA is filed under the name uncultured bacterium. Its description in RNAcentral is "bacterial SSU rRNA". It matches the Rfam family "Bacterial small subunit ribosomal RNA", at positions 32 to 413 of the family's 1533-position model. The record is from RNAcentral.
AAUCAACGCUGGCGGCGUGCCUCAGACAUGCAAGUCGAACGCGAAGGUCCCCUUCGGGGGAUGAUUAGAGUGGCGCACGGGUGAGUAACACGUAGGUAAUCUACCUUCGAGUGGGGAAUAACUCAGGGAAACUUGAGCUAAUACCGCAUAAUGCAGCGGCACCACAUGGUGACAGUUGUUAAAGCAUUUAUGCGCUUGAAGAGGAGCCUGCGGCGGANAGCUAGUUGGUAAGGUAAUGGCUUACCAAGGCUACGAUCUGUAACCGGCCUGAGAGGGCGGACGGUCACACUGACACUGAAUAACGGGUCAGACUCCUACGGGAGGCAGCAGUCGGGAAUUUUGGGCAAUGGGCGAAAGCCUGACCCAGCAACGCCGCGUGAAGGAUGAAA